ACUAAUGUCGGUUUCACUCCCAACCCAAUGUGAACGUUACCAAACUGUUGCCUCGGCGGGAUCUCUGCCCCGGGUGCGUCGCAGCCCCGGACCAAGGCGCCCGCCGGAGGACCAACCAAAACUCUUAUUGUAUACCCCCUCGCGGGUUUUUUUUAUAAUCUGAGCCUUCUCGGCGCCUCUCGUAGGCGUUUCGAAAAUGAAUCAAAACUUUCAACAACGGAUCUCUUGGUUCUGGCAUCGAUGAAGAACGCAGCGAAAUGCGAUAAGUAAUGUGAAUUGCAGAAUUCAGUGAAUCAUCGAAUCUUUGAACGCACAUUGCGCCCGCCAGUAUUCUGGCGGGCAUGCCUGUCCGAGCGUCAUUUCAACCCUCGAACCCCUCCGGGGGGUCGGCGUUGGGGAUCGGCCCUGCCUUGGCGGUGGCCGUCUCCGAAAUACAGUGGCGGUCUCGCCGCAGCCUCUCCUGCGCAGUAGUUUGCACACUCGCAUCGGGAGCGCGGCGCGUCCACAGCCGUUAAACACCCAACUUCUGAAAUGUUGACCUCGGAUCAGGUAGGAAUACCCGCUGAACUUAAGCAUAUCAAAGGGGGGAGGGGGAAA
RNAcentral lists this ribosomal RNA (597 nucleotides) under Trichoderma harzianum. RNAcentral describes it as "eukaryotic LSU rRNA". The stretch from base 206 to 359 matches the Rfam family "5.8S ribosomal RNA". Lineage: Eukaryota; Fungi; Ascomycota; Sordariomycetes; Hypocreales; Hypocreaceae. The record is from RNAcentral.